Molecule: ribosomal RNA, 500 nt
Filed under: uncultured bacterium
Lineage: Bacteria
Description: bacterial SSU rRNA
Rfam family: Bacterial small subunit ribosomal RNA
Source: RNAcentral
GAUGAACGCUAGCGGCAGGCUUAAUACAUGCAAGUCGAGGGGCAGCAUGGUGUAGCAAUACACUGAUGGCGACCGGCAAACGGGUGCGGAACACGUACAGAACCUUCCUUCGAGCGGGGAAUAGCCCAGAGAAAUUUGGAUUAAUACCCCAUAGUACAACGGAGUGGCAUCGCUUUGUUGUUAAAGAUUUAUCACUUGAAGAUGGCUGUGCGGCUGAUUAGGUAGUUGGCGGGGUAACGGCCCACCAAGCCUGCGAUCAGUAACUGGUGUGAGAGCACGACCAGUCACACGGGCACUGAGACACGGGCCCGACUCCUACGGGAGGCAGCAGUAAGGAAUAUUGGUCAAUGGACGAAAGUCUGAACCAGCCAUGCCGCGUGGAGGAUGAAGGUCCUCUGGAUUGUAAACUUCUUUUAUAUGGGACGAAAAAAGGCCUUUCUAGGUCGUCUGACGGUACCAUAUGAAUAAGCACCGGCUAACUCCGUGCCAGCAGCCGACGG